UUUCGCCCUUCAUUAAAGUUGCUUAAUGUUUGUGUGUGUGCUAUUACAAUAGUCAGAGAUAAACGUUUUCUAAUUUUAUAACGAUUAUUUGAAUUAUUCCACGAAUGUAAACAGUGAAAGUUUGCUAACAGCAUGGCGUAUACAUUGAUAGUGGCUUCAGUCAUAAUCGUUGAAGUUUUGUCGCAAGAAGUGCCAAAAAUACAACCAUUUAAUUUUCCAAAACAAGUUGUGCUUGGCCAGAAAGUCAGUACAAUAUGCACAGCAAUUUCUGGAAAUCCUCCUCUAGAAUUUUCUUGGCUUAAAGAUGGUCGUGAAAUUAAUGAUAUUGAUAAAAUUAGUAUCCAAUCUUAUACUACUAGAGAUUCUUCGGUCUUACUCAUAGAAAAAGUAGAGACCGAUUCUGCAGGAAAUUAUACGUGUGUACUUACUACUUCGUCCGGAAUCGAUAGAUUUUCUGCAAGUUUAUUAGUAAGAGCGCCAACAAAAUGGGUUCAAGAACCUUCAGAUAAAGAUAUAGUUGUGGGAACUUCACUAGUGAUAGAAUGUGAAGCGACAGGGUUACCUCCUCCGAAUGUUUCUUGGAGGAAAUUGGACGGUGCAUUGUCUCUCGAGUCAGAAUCACAGAUAGGGAAGAAUUUAUUAAAUAUUGAGAAUAUUCGAGAUAUAGACGAAGGCCAAUAUAUCUGUGAGGCUAAAAAUGGAAUAGGAGAUCCACUAAAUAAAAUAAUAUCUAUUACGGUUCGUGGUAAGAUUAUUGUUUUUGUACUCUGUGUUGAAAAUUAUCAAAGUUUCUUUACAUGAAUUUGUAGUAUGUCAAUAAUAAAAUUAUUUUAAUAAUGUUUAAAGCAAUAGGUUCUUUAACUUUCAGUUCCAUUAAAAGCUAUAUAAAUUAGGCGGUAUAAUUUAUAUAGAUAUAAUUUAAAAAAACAUAAUUCGAGAAUAUAAUAAAUUAUUAUUACAUUAAUGUUAGAUUAUAUUCGUUAACUUUCGAUGAUCACACGAAUAGCGUUUUCCUUAUUAUAUAUCUGUGGAAAAUAUUGGUUCAGAACUGUUUUGAAAACCGGAGGGCGCUGGGAGCGAGUCUUUGUUUAGUUAUGGAUGCUAGCUUGGCUAGAAAUUUAUUUGUGCUGAUGCAAUCUUUAAGAUUAGUAUUUAAUGUUGAUCGAGUGUAUUAUUAGAAAUUAUUCCUUUCAUACAUGCUAUGCACUGUUUAAGAAGACAUUGUUCAACGAUAUAACUAUUCAAAAAAUGAUUUAUAAAGUCAUAGUGAAAGUAUUGGUGAUUACUUUCUCGUUAUCAGUUGGAACUGGUAAGUAAAUUUUAAAUAAAAUUAAUUUUGAACUUAAUGAGCUUGCUAUAAUAUUUUAAUAAAAUCGAUUUUUCAAAUAGGGCAAAAAAUAAGACCAUUUAACUUUCCUAAAACGGUGACUUUAGGAGAAAGAGUUACCACGACUUGUGCCACAAAUAGUGGCGAUGAUUUAGUGUAUAAAUGGUAUAAAGACGGUAAAGAAAUUGAUGCAAAUAAAAGAAUUCAAAUAUUAAAUUAUGCGGGAGCAUCUAUGCUGGUUAUCGAAACGGCUGAAAUAAACGAUAAUGGUAAUUAUACAUGCACUGUAAAUUUACCGUCAGCAUCCGAUAGUUACAGCGCUGUACUUAAAGUGUUAGGUAAGUCUGUAAUAAAAUCAAAUGAAAAUAAUUUUUAAAGGAAUUUAAAUUAUGAUAGUCUUUUAAGUCGUAAUUUUAUCGUAUAUUUAGUUCCAGCUCAAUGGAUUAAACAACCAUCUGACCAAGAUAUUGCUAGUGGAGACACAGUUUCAUUUUUAUGCCAAGCUUCGGGUGUACCGCCUCCGAAUAUCAUUUGGAAAAAAGUUUCCCAUUUAAAUCAGAAUAGCCUUGAGACA
RNAcentral lists this unclassified non-coding RNA (1901 nucleotides) under Centruroides sculpturatus (bark scorpion). RNAcentral describes it as "down syndrome cell adhesion molecule-like protein Dscam2, transcript variant X3". The record is from RNAcentral. Lineage: Eukaryota; Metazoa; Arthropoda; Arachnida; Scorpiones; Buthidae.